GACCUCGGAUCAGGUGGGAAUACCCGCUGAACUU
This 34-nucleotide ribosomal RNA is filed under the name Sarocladium strictum. Its description in RNAcentral is "partial 26S ribosomal RNA". Lineage: Eukaryota; Fungi; Ascomycota; Sordariomycetes; Hypocreales; Sarocladiaceae. The record is from RNAcentral.